RNAcentral lists this ribosomal RNA (2878 nucleotides) under Stenotrophomonas maltophilia JV3. Its description in RNAcentral is "bacterial LSU rRNA". It matches the Rfam family "Bacterial large subunit ribosomal RNA". The record is from RNAcentral. Lineage: Bacteria; Pseudomonadati; Pseudomonadota; Gammaproteobacteria; Lysobacterales; Lysobacteraceae.
UCAAGCGAAUAAGCGCACACGGUGGAUGCCUUGGCGGUCAGAGGCGAUGAAGGACGUGGCAGCCUGCGAAAAGUAUCGGGGAGCUGGCAACAAGCUUUGAUCCGGUAAUGUCCGAAUGGGGAAACCCACCCGCUUGCGGGUAUCCUGCAGUGAAUACAUAGCUGCUGGAAGCGAACCUGGUGAACUGAAAUAUCUAAGUAACCAGAGGAAAAGAAAUCAACCGAGAUUCCGUAAGUAGCGACGAGCGAACGCGGACUAGCCCUUAAGCUGAUUUGGUUCUAGGAAAACGCUCUGGAAAGAGCGGCCAUAGAAGGUGAUAGCCCUGUAUCUGAAAGGGCCAUUUCAGUGAAGACGAGUAGGGCGGGGCACGUGAAACCCUGUCUGAACAUGGGGGGACCAUCCUCCAAGGCUAAAUACUACUGACCGACCGAUAGUGAACCAGUACCGUGAGGGAAAGGCGAAAAGAACCCCGGAGAGGGGAGUGAAAUAGAACCUGAAACCGUGUGCGUACAAGCAGUAGGAGCUCCGCAAGGAGUGACUGCGUACCUUUUGUAUAAUGGGUCAGCGACUUACUGUUCGUGGCAAGCUUAACCGUAUAGGGGAGGCGAAGGGAAACCGAGUCUGAUAAGGGCGCAUAGUCGCGGGCAGUAGACCCGAAACCGGGUGAUCUAGUCAUGCCCAGGGUGAAGGUGCGGUAACACGCACUGGAGGCCCGAACCCACUCCCGUUGCAAAGGUAGGGGAUGAGGUGUGAUUAGGAGUGAAAAGCUAAUCGAACCCGGAGAUAGCUGGUUCUCCUCGAAAGCUAUUUAGGUAGCGCCUCAUAUGUAUCCUCUCGGGGGUAGAGCACUGUUAUGGCUAGGGGGUCAUCGCGACUUACCAAACCAUUGCAAACUCCGAAUACCGAGACGGACUGUAUGGGAGACACACGGCGGGUGCUAACGUCCGUCGUGAAAAGGGAAACAACCCAGACCCACAGCUAAGGUCCCAAAUUCACUGCUAAGUGGAAAACCAUGUGGAAAGGCACAGACAGCCAGGAGGUUGGCUUAGAAGCAGCCACCCUUUAAAGAAAGCGUAAUAGCUCACUGGUCGAGUCGGUCUGCGGGGAAGAUUUAACGGGGCUAAGCAGUGAACCGAAGCUUGGGGUGCAUAACUUUGUUAUGCGCGGUAGAGGAGCGUUCCGUAAGCCGUUGAAGGUGGAUUGAGAAGUCUGCUGGAGGUAUCGGAAGUGCGAAUGCUGACAUGAGUAACGAUAAUGCGGGUGAAAAACCCGCACGCCGAAAGCCCAAGGUUUCCUUGCGCAACGUUAAUCGGCGCAGGGUGAGUCGGCCCCUAAGGCGAGGACGAAAGUCGUAGUCGAUGGGAAGCAGGUUAAUAUUCCUGCACCUCGCGUAAGUGCGAUGGAGGGACGGAGAAGGUUAGGUGUACCAGGCGUUGGUUGUCCUGGGGAAAGGCGGUAGGUUUGGAUCUUUGGCAAAUCCGGGAUCCUUUAAGACCGAGCACCGAGACGAGCCUUUAAGGCGAAGUCACUGAUACCACGCUUCCAGGAAAAGCUCCUAAGCUUCAGCUUACGCAGACCGUACCGUAAACCGACACAGGUGGGUAGGAUGAGAAUUCUCAGGCGCUUGAGAGAACUCGGGUGAAGGAACUAGGCAACAUGGCACCGUAACUUCGGGAGAAGGUGCACCCUUUUUGGUGGCUCAUGCGAGCUAUAGCUGAAGAGGGUCGCAGUAACCAGGCCGCUGCGACUGUUUAUCAAAAACACAGCACUCUGCAAACACGAAAGUGGACGUAUAGGGUGUGACGCCUGCCCGGUGCUGGAAGGUUAAUUGAUGGGGUCAGCCGCAAGGCGAAGCUCUUGAUCGAAGCCCCAGUAAACGGCGGCCGUAACUAUAACGGUCCUAAGGUAGCGAAAUUCCUUGUCGGGUAAGUUCCGACCUGCACGAAUGGCGUAACGACAGCGGCGCUGUCUCCACCCGAGACUCAGUGAAAUUGAAAUCGCUGUGAAGAUGCAGCGUUCCCGUGGCAAGACGGAAAGACCCCGUGAACCUUUACUAUAGCUUUACACUGAACGUUGAGUUCGUCUGUGUAGGAUAGGUGGGAGGCUAUGAAACUGUGGCGCCAGCUGCAGCGGAGCCAUCCUUGAAAUACCACCCUGUCGUGCUUGACGUUCUAACCUGGGCCCAUUAUCUGGGUCGGGGACCGUGUAUGGUGGGUAGUUUGACUGGGGCGGUCUCCUCCUAAAGAGUAACGGAGGAGCUCGAAGGUACGCUCAGCGCGGUCGGACAUCGCGCACUGUGUGCAAAGGCAUAAGCGUGCUUGACUGCAAGAUCGACGGAUCAAGCAGGUAGGAAACUAGGACUUAGUGAUCCGGUGGUUCUGUAUGGAAGGGCCAUCGCUCAACGGAUAAAAGGUACUCCGGGGAUAACAGGCUGAUACCGCCCAAGAGUUCAUAUCGACGGCGGUGUUUGGCACCUCGAUGUCGGCUCAUCACAUCCUGGGGCUGUAGUCGGUCCCAAGGGUAUGGCUGUUCGCCAUUUAAAGUGGUACGCGAGCUGGGUUCAGAACGUCGUGAGACAGUUCGGUCCCUAUCUGCCAUGGGCGUUGGAGAUUUGAGAGGGGCUGCUCCUAGUACGAGAGGACCGGAGUGGACGAACCUCUGGUGUUCCGGUUGUCACGCCAGUGGCAUUGCCGGGUAGCUAUGUUCGGAAGCGAUAACCGCUGAAAGCAUCUAAGCGGGAAGCGCGCCUCAAGAUGAGAUCUCCCGGGGCACAAGCCCCCUGAAGGAACCAUGUAGACUACGUGGUUGAUAGGUCAGGUGUGUAAGUACAGCAAUGUAUUGAGCUAACUGAUACUAAUGAUCCGUGCGGCUUGACCAU